CGGGUAGAAUCCUUUGCAGACG
Molecule: non-coding RNA, 22 nt
Filed under: Arabidopsis thaliana (thale cress)
Lineage: Eukaryota; Viridiplantae; Streptophyta; Magnoliopsida; Brassicales; Brassicaceae
Source: RNAcentral